AACGCGAAGAACCUUACCUGGGCUUGACAUGUAAUGAACAACAUGUGAAAGCAUGCGACUCUUCGGAGGCGUUACACAGGUGCUGCAUGGCCGUCGUCAGCUCGUGUCGUGAGAUGUUUGGUUAAGUCCAGCAACGAGCGCAACCCCUGUUGCCAGUUACCAGCACGUGAAGGUGGGGACUCUGGCGAGACUGCCCAGAUCAACUGGGAGGAAGGUGGGGACGACGUCAGGUCAGUAUGGCCCUUAUGCCCAGGGCUGCACACGUACUACAAUGCCCAGUACAGAGGGGGCCGAAGCCGCGAGGCGGAGGAAAUCCUAAAAACUGGGCCCCGUUCUGGACAUGU
Molecule: ribosomal RNA, 344 nt
Filed under: uncultured bacterium
Lineage: Bacteria
Description: bacterial SSU rRNA
Rfam family: Bacterial small subunit ribosomal RNA
Source: RNAcentral